GAUGAACGCUGGCGGCGUGCCUAAUACAUGCAAGUCGAGCGAACAGACGAGGAGCUUGCUCCUCUGACGUUAGCGGCGGACGGGUGAGUAACACGUGGAUAACCUACCUAUAAGACUGGGAUAACUUCGGGAAACCGGAGAUAAUACCGGAUAAUAUAUUGAACCGCAUGGUUCAAUAGUGAAAGACGGUUUUGCUGUCACUUCUAGAUGGAUCCGCGCCGCUUUAGCUAGUUGGUAAGGUAACGGCUUACCAAGGCAACGAUGCGUAGCCGACCUGAGAGGGUGAUCGGCCACACUGGAACUGAGACACGGUCCAGACUCCUACGGGAGGCAGCAGUAGGGAAUCUUCCGCAAUGGGCGAAAGCCUGACGGAGCAACGCCGCGUGAGUGAUGAAGGUCUUCGGAUCGUAAAACUCUGUUAUUAGGGAAGAACAAAUGUGUAAGUAACUAUGCACGUCUUGACGGUACCUAAUCAGAAAGCCACGGCUAACUACGUG
This 497-nucleotide ribosomal RNA is filed under the name uncultured bacterium. RNAcentral describes it as "partial 16S ribosomal RNA". It matches the Rfam family "Bacterial small subunit ribosomal RNA", at positions 28 to 507 of the family's 1533-position model. The record is from RNAcentral.